GAAGAGUAACAAUACAUCCUAAGUCCUAACAAUCCAAACUCUCGUAUCUUUCUUUUCAAACCCUCCUUAGUGUUACCAAAACAUCUCCUUAGUGUUGCUCGAAACAUCCUCAACGAUUUUUCUUUAAACUGUCCUUGGUAGUGCUCGAGUCAUCUUCAACGAUCUGGCCGUUGCUCGUCUUUCGCAACCUGCUUGAAGGCAUUGACUUCCAUUUCCAUCUUCUGCACAAAUCGAUGAAGCAUCACAAAAAGGAGGGAUUUCUUUGCAUUCUUGAAGAUAUUGUAAAGUAAUUAUCUUAACAGUAGCUGAAACAAUUAUCAAGGAAAAUUAACGAGAAAACCAAAGUCAUGGACAAGAGUUGGAUGUGUCAACCAAGAUCUUCUAGCAGGUCCUUCUUCCCCUAGUUGAUGUCUAUUUAAAACCUCUAGUUGAUGAGAUAAAGGAGUUAUGGGAGAAAGGAUUUGAAACCUAUGAUGCCUCUAGUAAGCAAUAUUUUAUUGUUCGAACUGCAUUACUUUGGACUCUAAGUGAUUUCCCUGCCUAUGCUAUGCUAUCAGGUUGGCGUACUAGUGGAUAGUUGGCGUGCCUUGUGCGUAACUAUGAUACAUGGUCCAAGUACUUGUCAAAAAGUAAAAAGAUGUGCUACAUGGGUCAUCGUAGAUUUUUGGACUCUAAUCAUAAAUGGCGGAAAAAUAAGAAGUGUUUUGAUGGCUAUGAAGAAUUUCAAGUUGCUUCAGUUCCAUUAUUAGGUUCUACUUUAUUGGAAAAAAUUGGCGAAAGACAUAAUUUAUUUGGAAACCCUCAAAAGAGGAAAAUAAAUAAUGUUGAUCUAUGGACAAAAAAAAGUAUAUUAUUUGAGUUGGCAUAUUGGGAUACUAAUUUGCACCGUCACAAUCUCGAUGUAAUGCACAUCGAAAAGAACGUUUGUGAAAAUGUAAUUGGAACACUAUUGAAUGUAGAUGGGAAAUCAAAGGAUCAUAUCAAAGCUUGCCUUGACUUGGUAAAGAUGGGUAUAAGGCAGGACAUUCACCCAAUAGAAAUAGAAUCAAAUAAAUAUUAGUUACCACCUGCACGAUUUACUCUUUCAUCAAAAGAAAAGGAUAUCUUUUGUGGCAUUUUGAAAGGAGUGAAGCUUCUAGAAUAUUAUGGGUCUAAUAUUUCUAAUUGUGUUCAACUUGAGCAGCAAAAACUUCUUGGGCUUAAAAGUCAUGAUUUUCAUAUUCUGAUGCAAGACUUACUUAAAAUAGCAGUACGAAGAGUUUUACCAAAAGAAGUCGCAAGAGUUUUAAUUAAGUUAAGCUCAUUCUUCGAGAUUUUAUGCUCCAAAGUUAUCAAUGUUGAAUUAUUUGAAUGUUUGGAUGUUGAAAUUGCAUUGAUUCUUUGCGAAUUGGAAAGAAUUUUUACCUCCAUCUUUUUUUGUUAUAAUGGUUCAUCUAUCAAUACAUUUAGCAUACAAAGCUAGAAUUGCAGGACCCAUGCAUUAUUGUUGGAUGUAUCCAAUUGACAGGUACUUAGAUGACGAUAUCCAAACAAAAUUCAAUAAACCAGCAAGGAGUUUAGAUGGUCCUAUAGGAGAUGGAGUCAUGACAAGUUUGGAUCCUCUUACAUGGGAGCAAGCUCAUCGAUAUGUGUUAUUCAAUUCUGAAGCUAUCAAACCAUUUCUCAACCAACAUGAAGAAUUUGUUUUCAGUCACAAUCGUCAAGGUUCAACAAGAAAAUGAAAUAAGGCUAAAGAUCAAUGUCUUACUUUUCAUGAAUGAUUUGAAGAUCGAGUAAGGAAUUUAGAUGUUAGUGAAGAUGUUAAAUGGUUGUCUAAAGGGCCAAAUACAGUUGCGAGAAGAUUUUCUGCAAUGCAAUAAAUGGCUACAAGUUUGUCAUUGAAAGUCGUGAAAGAAGCAAGAAAGAUGAAAAUUUGUUGGUAGAAAAUGUUACCUACUAUGGAGUUUUGAAAUAUAUAAUUGAAUUGGAUUACUAUGGACAUUUCAAGUUUGUGUUGUUCAAACGUCAUUGGUUUCAAAUUAAACAAGAUGGUUUUGGAUUGGUACUAAUAAAUGUCCAUAGGUUGAUCUAUGAAAAUGAUCCUUUUGUAUUUGCAUCUCAAGUAAA
This is an RNA transcript of Vigna unguiculata (cowpea), 2106 nucleotides long. RefSeq lists it as uncharacterized. Lineage: Eukaryota; Viridiplantae; Streptophyta; Magnoliopsida; Fabales; Fabaceae. The record is from RefSeq and is a predicted model, not a curated record.